AGCAGCCGCGGUAAUUCCAGCUCCAAUAGCGUAUAUUAAAGUUGUUGCAGUUAAAAAGACUCGUAGUUGAAUUUCGGGAUCAAUAUGUUGGUCGUACCAUUGGUACGUACUGGCAUUAUUGAUUCCUACCUUUCUGAAGAAUCUUGAUGUCAUUAAUUUGGUGUCUUGGGAAAUCAGGACUGUUACUUUGAAAAAAUUAGAGUGUUUAAAGUAGGCUCGCGCUUGAAUACAUUAGCAUGGAAUAAUGAAUAGGACGUUUGAUUCUAUUUUGUUGGUUUCUAGGAUCGAUGUAAUGAUUAAUAGGGAUAGUUGGGGGCAUUAGUAUUCAAUUGUCAGAGGCGAAAUUCUUGGAUUUAUUGAAGACUAACUACUGCGAA
Molecule: ribosomal RNA, 377 nt
Filed under: uncultured Glomus
Lineage: Eukaryota; Fungi; Glomeromycota; Glomeromycetes; Glomerales; Glomeraceae
Description: SSU rRNA
Rfam family: Eukaryotic small subunit ribosomal RNA
Source: RNAcentral